This 864-nucleotide long non-coding RNA is filed under the name Sander lucioperca (pikeperch). RNAcentral's name for it is "lncRNA (ENSSLUG00000003178.1)". The record is from RNAcentral. Lineage: Eukaryota; Metazoa; Chordata; Actinopteri; Perciformes; Percidae.
AUAACCUCGCCGACCUUGCAAGCUCUUGUCUUUUUGUUGUUUUUUUCCCCCCACAGAUGUACUGUCCAUAUUGUGGAUCUGCCUUGACAGCUUCCCCUGGGUUUUGUUGUGUGUGUGGCAAAAACAUCAGAUUUCUAAAAGAUGUGGCAAACAAAGUCCCUGAGGAGAUGCCUACGACCAGUGCACAUGCUAAUGCACAGUCUAGUACUGCAGGAAGCUCAGGUGUAGAGUCCUUUAUGAAAUUUAGGGCAAUAAAAGAGAGGGAGAGAAAGACAUUCUUUUCAAAGACACGUCAGAAGGAACAGAAACAGAAAAUAGUAAAGGUAUGCUAUUUUUAACAUUGUUUCUAUUAUAAUUAAAUAUAUUGCUCAAAUCUAGUGACUUUUUCCAUUUCCUUUUCUUUCUGCAGAUUUAUGUUGGAGUUAUGAGGAUGACAGGUGAUUCCCUUAAACCUGUGAGAGGGAAGUCACUUCCCCUUGAUAUUCGCCCUCAAUGGUCAUCUGAUCAACUGUUGGCUGCUGCUGUAAAGAAGCUGAAAGAUUUUAACCAGGAUAUGGAAGAUGGUGCACAUGUUUUGUUGUACCCUGAUGCUCAGGAAGUUAGAAACAUCCCAGGAACAGACACCCCUUUCACAGUGCAGAAAUACAAGGAGGCAAUUGGAAAGGCCUACCAAAGAAUAACAAUGUACAUUUGCAAUGUUGAAGACUUUGCAAACAGCUGUUACAGUGGACAGCCUUCAAGUGAAGAUGACAGUGUGGUCCAUGUUAAUUUGCCGUCUGGAGACAGUCCACUUUCUGACACCGUGGUCAGUUUGCAUCUAUCAUGGCAUUUAUCUUUAAGUCAAGUGAAUUGAUAAUAUUUUCA